RNAcentral lists this ribosomal RNA (497 nucleotides) under uncultured bacterium. Its description in RNAcentral is "partial 16S ribosomal RNA". It matches the Rfam family "Bacterial small subunit ribosomal RNA", at positions 28 to 507 of the family's 1533-position model. The record is from RNAcentral.
GAUGAACGCUGGCGGCGUGCCUAAUACAUGCAAGUCGAGCGAACAGACGAGGAGCUUGCUCCUCUGACGUUAGCGGCGGACGGGUGAGUAACACGUGGAUAACCUACCUAUAGGACUGGGAUAACUUCGGGAAACCGGAGCUAAUACCGGAUAAUAUAUUGAACCGCAUGGUUCAAUAGUGAAAGACGGUUUUGCUGUCACUUAUAGAUGGAUCCGCGCCGCAUUAGCUAGUUGGUAAGGUAACGGCUUACCAAGGCAACGAUGCGUAGCCGACCUGAGAGGUUGAUCGGCCACACUGGAACUGAGACACGGUCCAGACUCCUACGGGAGGCAGCAGUAGGGAAUCUUCCGCAAUGGGCGAAAGCCUGACGGAGCAACGCCGCGUGAGUGAUGAAGGUCUUCGGAUCGUAAAACUCUGUUAUUAGGGAAGAACAAAUGUGUAAGUAACUAUGCACGUCUUGACGGUACCUAAUCAGAAAGCCACGGCUAACUACGUG